Molecule: ribosomal RNA, 253 nt
Filed under: uncultured prokaryote
Description: partial 16S ribosomal RNA
Rfam family: Bacterial small subunit ribosomal RNA
Source: RNAcentral
ACGUAGGGUGCAAGCGUUAAUCGGAAUUACUGGGCGUAAAGCGUGCGCAGGCGGCUUUGCAAGACAGAUGUGAAAUCCCCGGGCUUAACCUGGGAACUGCAUUUGUGACUGCAUCGCUGGAGUGCGGCAGAGGGGGAUGGAAUUCCGCGUGUAGCAGUGAAAUGCGUAGAUAUGCGGAGGAACACCGGUGGCGAAGGCGGGUCUCUGGGCCGUAACUGACGCUGAGGAGCGAAAGCAUGGGGAGCGAACAGGA